UACGUAGGGGGCAAGCGUUGUCCGGAAUUAUUGGGCGUAAAGCGCGUGUAGGCGGCCAGAUAAGUCCGCUGUGAAAUCUCGAGGCUCAACUUCGAGCUGUCGGUGGAAACUGUCUGGCUAGAGUCCGGAAGAGGAGAAUGGAAUUCCUGGUGUAGCGGUGAAAUGCGCAGAUAUCAGGAAGAACACCCGUGGCUAAGGCGGUUCUCUAGUACGGUACUGACGCUGAGACGCGAAAGCGUGGGGAGCGAACAGG
Molecule: ribosomal RNA, 253 nt
Filed under: uncultured bacterium
Lineage: Bacteria
Description: partial 16S ribosomal RNA
Rfam family: Bacterial small subunit ribosomal RNA
Source: RNAcentral